CUUAUAUUCUGUAGCAAGGUUAACCGUAUAGGGGAGCCGAAGGGAAACCGAGUCUUAACUGGGCGUUAAGUUGCAGGGUAUAGACCCGAAACCCGGUGAUCUAGCCAUGGGCAGGUUGAAGGUUGGGUAACACUAACUGGAGGACCGAACCGACUAAUGUUGAAAAAUUAGCGGAUGACUUGUGGCUGGGGGUGAAAGGCCAAUCAAACCGGGAGAUAGCUGGUUCUCCCCGAAAGCUAUUUAGGUAGCGCCUCGUGAACUCAUCUUCGGGGGUAGAGCACUGUUUCGGCUAGGGGGUCAUCCCGACUUACCAACCCGAUGCAAACUGCGAAUACCGAAGAAUGUUAUCACGGGAGACACACGGCGGGUGCUAACGUCCGUCGUGAAGAGGGAAACAACCCAGACCGCCAGCUAAGGUCCCAAAGUCACAGUUAAGUGGGAAACGAUGUGGGAAGGCUCAGACAGCCAGGAUGUUGGCUUAGAAGCAGCCAUCAUUUAAAGAAAGCGUAAUAGCUCACUGGUCGAGUCGGCCUGCGCGGAAGAUGUAACGGGGCUAAACUGUGCACCGAAGCUGCGGCAGCGACGCUUAUGCGUUGUUGGGUAGGGGAGCGUUCUGUAAGCCUGCGAAGGUGUCCUGUGAGGGAUGCUGGAGGUAUCAGAAGUGCGAAUGCUGACAUAAGUAACGAUAAUGCGGGUGAAAAGCCCGCUCGCCGGAAGACCAAGGGUUCCUGUCCAACGUUAAUCGGGGCAGGGUGAGUCGACCCCUAAGGCGAGGCCGAAAGGCGUAGUCGAUGGGAAACGGGUUAAUAUUCCCGUACUUGGUGUUACUGCGAAGGGGGGACGGAGAAGGCUAUGUUGGCCGGGCGACGGUUGUCCCGGUUUAAGCGUGUAGGCUGGUUUUCCAGGCAAAUCCGGAAAAUCA
This 922-nucleotide ribosomal RNA is filed under the name Salmonella enterica subsp. enterica serovar Kentucky. RNAcentral describes it as "partial 23S ribosomal RNA". It matches the Rfam family "Bacterial large subunit ribosomal RNA", at positions 627 to 1552 of the family's 2925-position model. Lineage: Bacteria; Pseudomonadati; Pseudomonadota; Gammaproteobacteria; Enterobacterales; Enterobacteriaceae. The record is from RNAcentral.